Molecule: ribosomal RNA, 2238 nt
Filed under: Klebsiella michiganensis
Lineage: Bacteria; Pseudomonadati; Pseudomonadota; Gammaproteobacteria; Enterobacterales; Enterobacteriaceae
Description: bacterial LSU rRNA
Rfam family: Bacterial large subunit ribosomal RNA
Source: RNAcentral
GGUGACUGCGUACCUUUUGUAUAAUGGGUCAGCGACUUAUAUUCUGUAGCAAGGUUAACCGUAUAGGGGAGCCGCAGGGAAACCGAGUCUUAACUGGGCGUUAAGUUGCAGGGUAUAGACCCGAAACCCGGUGAUCUAGCCAUGGGCAGGUUGAAGGUUGGGUAACACUAACUGGAGGACCGAACCGACUAAUGUUGAAAAAUUAGCGGAUGACUUGUGGCUGGGGGUGAAAGGCCAAUCAAACCGGGAGAUAGCUGGUUCUCCCCGAAAGCUAUUUAGGUAGCGCCUCGUGAAUUCAUCUUCGGGGGUAGAGCACUGUUUCGGCUAGGGGGUCAUCCCGACUUACCAACCCGAUGCAAACUACGAAUACCGAAGAAUGUUAUCACGGGAGACACACGGCGGGUGCUAACGUCCGUCGUGAAGAGGGAAACAACCCAGACCGCCAGCUAAGGUCCCAAAGUCAUGGUUAAGUGGGAAACGAUGUGGGAAGGCCCAGACAGCCAGGAUGUUGGCUUAGAAGCAGCCAUCAUUUAAAGAAAGCGUAAUAGCUCACUGGUCGAGUCGGCCUGCGCGGAAGAUGUAACGGGGCUAAACCAUGCACCGAAGCUGCGGCAGCGACACUAUGUGUUGUUGGGUAGGGGAGCGUUCUGUAAGCCGUUGAAGGUGGCCUGUGAGGGUUGCUGGAGGUAUCAGAAGUGCGAAUGCUGACAUAAGUAACGAUAAUGCGGGUGAAAAACCCGCACGCCGGAAGACCAAGGGUUCCUGUCCAACGUUAAUCGGGGCAGGGUGAGUCGACCCCUAAGGCGAGGCCGAAAGGCGUAGUCGAUGGGAAACAGGUUAAUAUUCCUGUACUCGGUGUUACUGCGAAGGGGGGACGGAGAAGGCUAUGUUGGCCGGGCGACGGUUGUCCCGGUUUAAGCAUGUAGGCGGAUGUUCCAGGUAAAUCCGGAACGUUACUAACGCUGAGGUGUGAUGACGAGGCACUACGGUGCUGAAGUGACAAAUGCCCUGCUUCCAGGAAAAGCCUCUAAGCAUCAGGUAACAUCAAAUCGUACCCCAAACCGACACAGGUGGUCAGGUAGAGAAUACCAAGGCGCUUGAGAGAACUCGGGUGAAGGAACUAGGCAAAAUGGUGCCGUAACUUCGGGAGAAGGCACGCUGAUGGUAGNNNNNNNNNNNNNNNNGUGGAGCUGAAAUCAGUCGAAGAUACCAGCUGGCUGCAACUGUUUAUUAAAAACACAGCACUGUGCAAACACGAAAGUGGACGUAUACGGUGUGACGCCUGCCCGGUGCCGGAAGGUUAAUUGAUGGGGUUAUCCGUAAGGAGAAGCUCUUGAUCGAAGCCCCGGUAAACGGCGGCCGUAACUAUAACGGUCCUAAGGUAGCGAAAUUCCUUGUCGGGUAAGUUCCGACCUGCACGAAUGGCGUAAUGAUGGCCAGGCUGUCUCCACCCGAGACUCAGUGAAAUUGAACUCGCUGUGAAGAUGCAGUGUACCCGCGGCAAGACGGAAAGACCCCGUGAACCUUUACUAUAGCUUGACACUGAACACUGGUCCUUGAUGUGUAGGAUAGGUGGGAGGCUUUGAAGUGUGGACGCCAGUCUGCAUGGAGCCAUCCUUGAAAUACCACCCUUUAAUGGCUGGUGUUCUAACGUGGGCCCCUAAUCGGGGUUGCGGACAGUGUCUGGUGGGUAGUUUGACUGGGGCGGUCUCCUCCUAAAGAGUAACGGAGGAGCACGAAGGUCAGCUAAUCCUGGUCGGACAUCAGGAGGUUAGUGCAAUGGCAUAAGCUGGCUUGACUGCGAGCGUGACGGCGCGAGCAGGUGCGAAAGCAGGUCAUAGUGAUCCGGUGGUUCUGAAUGGAAGGGCCAUCGCUCAACGGAUAAAAGGUACUCCGGGGAUAACAGGCUGAUACCGCCCAAGAGUUCAUAUCGACGGCGGUGUUUGGCACCUCGAUGUCGGCUCAUCACAUCCUGGGGCUGAAGUAGGUCCCAAGGGUAUGGCUGUUCGCCAUUUAAAGUGGUACGCGAGCUGGGUUUAGAACGUCGUGAGACAGUUCGGUCCCUAUCUGCCGUGGGCGCUGGAGAAUUGAGGGGGGCUGCUCCUAGUACGAGAGGACCGGAGUGGACGCAUCACUGGUGUUCGGGUUGUCAUGCCAAUGGCAUUGCCCGGUAGCUAAAUGCGGAAGAGAUAAGUGCUGAAAGCAUCUAAGCACGAAACUUGCCCCGAGAUGAGUUCU